Molecule: ribosomal RNA, 460 nt
Filed under: uncultured bacterium
Lineage: Bacteria
Description: partial 16S ribosomal RNA
Rfam family: Bacterial small subunit ribosomal RNA
Source: RNAcentral
CCUACGGGAGGCAGCAGUGAGGAAUAUUGGUCAAUGGACGAGAGUCUGAACCAGCCAAGUAGCGUGAAGGAUGACUGCCCUAUGGGUUGUAAACUUCUUUUAUAUGGGAAUAAAAUGUUCCACGUGUGGGAUUUUGUAUGUACCAUAUGAAUAAGGAUCGGCUAACUUCGUGCCAGCAGCCGCGGUAAUACGGAGGAUCCGAGCGUUAUCCGGAUUUAUUGGGUUUAAAGGGAGCGUAGGUGGAUUGUUAAGUCAGUUGUGAAAGUUUGCGGCUCAACCGUAAAAUUGCAGUUGAAACUGGCAGUCUUGAGUACAGUAGAGGUGGGCGGAAUUCGUGGUGUAGCGGUGAAAUGCUUAGAUAUCACGAAGAACUCCGAUUGCGAAGGCAGUUCACUGGACUGCAACUGACACUGACGCUCGAAAGUGUGGGUAUCAAACAGGAUUAGAUACCCCUGUAGUC